This 398-nucleotide unclassified non-coding RNA is filed under the name uncultured Chytridiomycota. RNAcentral's name for it is "sequence contains ITS1". The stretch from base 1 to 105 matches the Rfam family "5.8S ribosomal RNA", at positions 50 to 154 of the family's 154-position model. The record is from RNAcentral. Lineage: Eukaryota; Fungi; Chytridiomycota.
GAAAUGCGAUAAGUAAUGUGAAUUGCAGAAUUCAGUGAAUCAUCGAAUCUUUGAACGCACAUUGCGCUCUUUGGUAUUCCGGAGAGCAUGCCUGUUUGAGAAUCAGUAAAUUCUUCUUGACCGCUGUUGUUGGGCUUCUGUCCGCUAACAUGUCUCGGAUGUGGGCCUUUUGCGACUGCAAAUUCGCAAUGGCCUGAAAUGCAAUGUUACGCAUCCUUGGACUGACCAGUUCUUGGGCAAUCGCAUGAAUGAGGAGACUCACAAAUACGUUUGUUCUACUUGGAUUGGAUCCGGGCUCAGGCAUCUGUAACUCAACCAUUACCCGGAGAUUGCUGACGUCAGUCAGCCUUUUCUGAACACUUGGUCUCAAAUCAGGUAGGAAAACCCGCUGAACUUAA